RNAcentral lists this ribosomal RNA (546 nucleotides) under fungal endophyte. RNAcentral describes it as "eukaryotic LSU rRNA". The stretch from base 174 to 327 matches the Rfam family "5.8S ribosomal RNA". The record is from RNAcentral. Lineage: Eukaryota; Fungi.
GUGACGUUACCAAACUGUUGCCUCGGCGGGAUCUCUGCCCCGGGUGCGUCGCAGCCCCGGACCAAGGCGCCCGCCGGAGGACCAACCAAAACUCUUUUUGUAUACCCCCUCGCGGGUUUUUUAUAAUCUGAGCCUUCUCGGCGCCUCUCGUAGGCGUUUCGAAAAUGAAUCAAAACUUUCAACAACGGAUCUCUUGGUUCUGGCAUCGAUGAAGAACGCAGCGAAAUGCGAUAAGUAAUGUGAAUUGCAGAAUUCAGUGAAUCAUCGAAUCUUUGAACGCACAUUGCGCCCGCCAGUAUUCUGGCGGGCAUGCCUGUCCGAGCGUCAUUUCAACCCUCGAACCCCUCCGGGGGGUCGGCGUUGGGGAUCGGCCCUCCCUUAGCGGGGGCCGUCUCCGAAAUACAGUGGCGGUCUCGCCGCAGCCUCUCCUGCGCAGUAGUUUGCACACUCGCAUCGGGAGCGCGGCGCGUCCACAGCCGUUAAACACCCAACUUCUGAAAUGUUGACCUCGGAUCAGGUAGGAAUACCCGCUGAACUUAAGCAUAU